ACGGAAGGCAGCAGUGGGGAAUAUUGCACAAUGGGGGAAACCCUGAUGCAGCGACGCCGCGUGAGUGAAGAAGUAUUUCGGUAUGUAAAGCUCUAUCAGCAGGAAAGAAAAUGACGGUACCUGACUAAGAAGCCCCGGCUAACUACGUGCCAGCAGCCGCGGUAAUACGUAGGGGGCAAGCGUUAUCCGGAUUUACUGGGUGUAAAGGGAGCGUAGACGGCUUUGCAAGUCUGAAGUGAAAGCCCGGGGCUCAACCCCGGAACUGCUUUGGAAACUGUAGAGCUAGAGUGCAGUAGAGGUAAGUGGAAUUCCUAGUGUAGCGGUGAAAUGCGUAGAUAUUAGGAGGAACACCAGUGGCGAAGGCGGCUUACUGGACUGUAACUGACGUUGAGGCUCGAAGGCGUGGGGAGCAAACAGGAUUAGAUACCCUGGUA
Molecule: ribosomal RNA, 434 nt
Filed under: uncultured Lachnospiraceae bacterium
Lineage: Bacteria; Bacillati; Bacillota; Clostridia; Lachnospirales; Lachnospiraceae
Description: partial 16S ribosomal RNA
Rfam family: Bacterial small subunit ribosomal RNA
Source: RNAcentral